RNAcentral lists this ribosomal RNA (279 nucleotides) under uncultured bacterium. RNAcentral's name for it is "partial 16S ribosomal RNA". It matches the Rfam family "Bacterial small subunit ribosomal RNA", at positions 48 to 327 of the family's 1533-position model. The record is from RNAcentral.
UGCUUAACCGUGCAAGUCGAACGGUAACAGGGAGCUUGCUCCGCUGACGAGUGGCGAACGGGUGAGUAAUGCAUCGGAACGUACCCAGUCGUGGGGGAUAACGUAGCGAAAGUUACGCUAAUACCGCAUACGUCCUGAGGGAGAAAGCGGGGGACCGUAAGGCCUCGCGCGAUUGGAGCGGCCGAUGUCAGAUUAGCUAGUUGGUAGGGUAAAGGCCUACCAAGGCGACGAUCCGUAGCGGGUCUGAGAGGAUGAUCCGCCACACUGGGACUGACACAC